UGAAGUGAUGAUGGCAAAGAGGUCACACCCGUUCCCAUACCGAACACGGAAGUUAAGCUCUUUAGCGCCGAUGGUAGUUGGGGGUUUCCCCCUGUGAGAGUAGGACAUCGCUUCGC
RNAcentral lists this ribosomal RNA (116 nucleotides) under Lysinibacillus fusiformis. The record is from RNAcentral. Lineage: Bacteria; Bacillati; Bacillota; Bacilli; Caryophanales; Bacillaceae. RNAcentral also lists the same sequence under 4 other names.